RNAcentral lists this ribosomal RNA (675 nucleotides) under Bacillus velezensis. RNAcentral describes it as "bacterial SSU rRNA". It matches the Rfam family "Bacterial small subunit ribosomal RNA", at positions 31 to 688 of the family's 1533-position model. The record is from RNAcentral. Lineage: Bacteria; Bacillati; Bacillota; Bacilli; Caryophanales; Bacillaceae.
GAAAAUGUCGUGCCAAUAACUAUACAUGCAGUCGAGCGGACAGAUGGGAGCUUGCUCCCUGAUGUUAGCGGCGGACGGGUGAGUAACACGUGGGUAACCUGCCUGUAAGACUGGGAUAACUCCGGGAAACCGGGGCUAAUACCGGAUGGUUGUCUGAACCGCAUGGUUCAGACAUAAAAGGUGGCUUCGGCUACCACUUACAGAUGGACCCGCGGCGCAUUAGCUAGUUGGUGAGGUAACGGCUCACCAAGGCGACGAUGCGUAGCCGACCUGAGAGGGUGAUCGGCCACACUGGGACUGAGACACGGCCCAGACUCCUACGGGAGGCAGCAGUAGGGAAUCUUCCGCAAUGGACGAAAGUCUGACGGAGCAACGCCGCGUGAGUGAUGAAGGUUUUCGGAUCGUAAAGCUCUGUUGUUAGGGAAGAACAAGUGCCGUUCAAAUAGGGCGGCACCUUGACGGUACCUAACCAGAAAGCCACGGCUAACUACGUGCCAGCAGCCGCGGUAAUACGUAGGUGGCAAGCGUUGUCCGGAAUUAUUGGGCGUAAAGGGCUCGCAGGCGGUUUCUUAAGUCUGAUGUGAAAGCCCCCGGCUCAACCGGGGAGGGUCAUUGGAAACUGGGGAACUUGAGUGCAGAAAAAGAGAGUGGAAUUCCACGUUGAGCGGUGAAAUG